AGAGUUUGAUCCUGGCUCAGAUUGAACGCUGGCGGCAUGCUCCACACAGGGAAGUCGAGCGGCAGCGCGGGGGCAACCCUGGCGGCGAGCGGCGAACGGGUGAGUAAUGCAUCGGAACGUGUCCCGUAGUGGGGGAUAACCCGGCGAAAGCCGGACUAAUACCGCAUAUGCUCUACGGAGGAAAGCGGGGGAUUCCAAGGGAAACUGAGGAACCUCGCGCUAUGGGAGCGGCCGAUGUCCGAUUAGCUUGUUGGUGAGGUAAUGGCUUACCAAGGCGACGAUCGGUAGCUGGUCUGAGAGGAUGAUCAGCCACACUGGGACUGAGACACGGCCCAGACUCCUACGGGAGGCAGCAGUGGGGAAUUUUGGACAAUGGGGGCAACCCUGAUCCAGCCAUGCCGCGUGCGGGAAGAAGGCCUUCGGGUUGUAAACCGCUUUUGUCCGGAAAGAAAAGGCGCCUCCUAAUACGGGGCGCUCUUGACGGUACCGGAAGAAUAAGCACCGGCUAACUACGUGCCAGCAGCCGCGGUAAUACGUAGGGUGCGAGCGUUAAUCGGAAUUACCGGGCGUAAAGCGUGCGUAGGCGGUCCGCGAAGUCUGAUGUGAAAGCCCCGGGCUCAACCUGGGAACUGCAUUGGAAACUAACGGGCUCGAGUGUGGCAGA
Molecule: ribosomal RNA, 664 nt
Filed under: uncultured beta proteobacterium
Lineage: Bacteria; Pseudomonadati; Pseudomonadota; Betaproteobacteria
Description: bacterial SSU rRNA
Rfam family: Bacterial small subunit ribosomal RNA
Source: RNAcentral